AUGGCUAAAGGCUUUAGCAAAAGGUAGAGUUUAAUAUUGAGGUGUGAGUUGGAAAGGAAGAGAGAGAAGGAGCAAAAGGAAAGGCAUCAGCCAUUCAAUGAACCAUUCGACAUUUUUUUGAGAUUGGAGCUAGAGAGUUGGAGAAGGAAGACAAGGAGCAGCCAAGCAAGAAGGAGAAGAAGAUUUCCACCAUUGAAGACCUUGAGCUUCCAUUACUUUCACAAAAUCUGUAAACUUUUUCUAGUUAUAUUUUGA
Molecule: long non-coding RNA, 255 nt
Filed under: Prunus dulcis (almond)
Lineage: Eukaryota; Viridiplantae; Streptophyta; Magnoliopsida; Rosales; Rosaceae
Description: sRNA ncRNA
Source: RNAcentral